UGACAUGGCACUUCCUGUUUGGAGUUUUCUCUGUCCCAAACCAAGGAAGCCACUCUAGGGAGUUGAGAAUACAAUUAAAUGGUAAGUGUGACCCUAUCCUGGGGCAGGCCUUUUCAUUCUUCCUGGCAAACGUCUACAAUUUCUUCUGCUACUGUGGUCACUCCUUCAUGCAUAUUGGUGAGUGCAUGGAUGGUUACAACUGCUCAAUGUCCACACCUGGAAUGAGCUGCCAAUGAGUUUUGUUAGAAUCCUUAGCAACCUGACUACCCUGCUAGGAGCUGGGGAAGCAAAAAUGUCUAUGAAACUAGGGUCUAGUAGAAAGAGCUGCUUCCCAGGUGGCGCUAGUGGUAAAGAACUCGCUGGCCGAUGCAGGAGACGUAAGAGACACGAGUUUGAUCCCUGGGUAGGGAAGAUCUGGAGAAGAGCAUGGCAACCCACUCCAGUGUUCUUCCCUGAAGGGUCCCGUGGACAGAGGAACCUGGCAGGCUACUGUCCAUGAGGUCACAAAGUCGGACAUGACAGAAGCAACUUAUGCAUGCAGAAAGAAAUGGAAACAAGCAAAAUAAAGCAUUAUCAGAUCCAUGAUACAGGGUUUUAAGUUGUAUUUAAUGGGGGCAACAUUAAAUACAACUUAAAGAAAGCUGAGCACUGAAGAACUGAUGCUUUUGAACUGUGGUGUUGGAGAAGACUCUUGAGAGUCGCUUGGAUUGCAAGGAGAUCAAAGCAGUCAGUUCUAAAAGAAAUUAGUCCUGAAUAUUCAUUGGAAGGACUGAUGCUGAAGCUGAAACUCCAAUACUUUGGCCACCUGAUGUGAAGAGCUGACUCAUUAGAAAAGACCCUGAUGCUGGGAAAGACUGAAGGCAAGAGGAGAAGGGGACGACAGAGGAUGAGAUGGUUGGAUGGCAUCACUGACUCGAUGGACAUAAGUUUGAGUAAGCUCCAGGAGUUGGUGAAGGACAGGGAAGCAUGGCAUGCUGUAGUCCAUGGGGUUGCAAAGAGUCAGACACGACUGAGCAGCUGAACUGAACUGAAUGGAACAACAGGGAAAAGUACAUCUACUCCAUCUUCCUGUUAACAGAAGUCAAGAUAUAAAAUAUCAUGAAAUGAAAUAUCUUAUUUUAUAAAAUAGUUGGCUUCAUGUUUUUGGAAUUGUACAGAGAUUUAUUUAUUGCAGGUAUGUUGACUCCCCCACUAGAACUGUUUCUGGCAUAUGGUAGGAACUUAAAAAUAUUCAGUGACUGAAUCUCUACUUCAGUGAGAAAGCUUAAGGACUUAAGUAAUUUCUUCUUCAACUGGUAACUUCUCAAGUAAUUUCUUCUUCAAACACCCAACACAGUUGGGUCGAGUAAAGAGUGUGGUUAAAGAAUCAGUGUAAUUAAAAAUAAUGCUGGUGAGAAAUUUAGUAAGUUUAUUAUACUCAGAAGUUAGACAGUGGAACAUCUCUCUGCACGAUCUGAAUUUGGACUGUCUGAUUCCAAACCCUGAGCUCUCACACUGGGGCACUCAUGAAAGUCAAGGCCCCUUUUGUUCCUUUAGGACAAAGGAUGGGUGAGAGGGAGCCCCCACUUGAGACAAUGACAAAGUGACAACACAACACUUUCCCACUGAAUUAACAGUGUCCUUGCCUUCUUCAGGCAACUGCCCAGUGCUGUCAGCUCCUUCCUUCUGCUCAAUGCCAGGCUUCCUGCCUAGUGUCCUAAUUACUCCUUGAUUCCUGUGCAAAUGGGAUACCACUCCAAUUUCUCUCUUGCAGCUGCAUUUUUUUCAGCCCCCCCCCCCAAAAAAACCCAAAAGCAAUAGUGCUUUCCCAUUUAUCUGCAGUGUUUCCUAAUGCUACUCACCACUUCCCAGAUUUCUCCCUACUCUUGAUUUUCAGGAUCCUUCACUUUCUUGAUUUGCCUCCAUUCCACUGAUUACUUUCUGACUCUUUACUCCCAUCCUCCGACUGGUGCAUUCCUCAAGAUUCCUCCUUUCCUGUCCUUGUCCGUAGUCUCAUUCUCAGCUUAUUGACGUCUGGCAGAUACACUCAUUCAUUCAUUCAGUGUUCGUUUAUCUAGCACCUGCUGUGUACCAGGCAUUGUUCUAUAGCAGGAAACAGGAUAAACAAUGUCAUCAUUCCAGUGGAAGACACAGCAAACAAAAACAGCAACAAAAUCAGUUGGUUUUGGAGCCUUACAGCAUUUCAACAGUAUUAAUCAAUCUUCUAACUUUUCAUGUACAUAAUCUCAAUUAUCUAUUAAUUCCAAAAUUAUUGAAAAUAAGAAUUUUGUUUUUUCAUAAAGCUAAUGCCUCCACCUUAUUUUUAUGCAUGAGGUCUACUUUAAAGUUGUGCUUUCACACAGUUGGUGAUUUUUAAACCUUUUUGUUUGUGUAUUUAGCUGUGUUGGGUCUUCGUUGCCUCACGCUGGAUCUUUGGUUGCAGCGUGUGAGCUCUUAGUUGUAGCAUGUGGAAUCUAGUUCCCUGACCAGGGUUUGAACCCUGGCCCCCGGCGUUGGGAGCAUGGAGUCUUAGCCACUGGACGACCACCAAGGAAAUUGCCAUAGUUGGUGACCUUAAAAGUCUGUUGAUUUAAAAAUACUGCUGAUUAUUAAUUUUUUCUAAGGAGACUUUAUUUGCAAAUAUCUCAAGGCAAUUAAAUGUAUUCUUGAUGUUACACAAUGACUCUGGAACCUGCCCAGCCACAUACCAGCCACACGGUCUGGAACAAGUUACUCAGCCUCUCUGCACCUUCAUUAUUCUUGCCUCCAGGAGCCCCUCAACUUAUGAACCUCAUGUCCAGACCAGGACUCAACUCACGAGUUCAAAGCAGUUCCCAUGAAGGACCAGUGUGUCCUAAGGGGAAGAUCUUUUUUAGUUUUGAAAGUCAGCAAUGGGAGAAGAAUGUGGCUCUGGAACCAGGCAACUUGGUUUUAUGUGCUGGUUCCUCUGCUUCCUAGGGUUUAUCCCUUAGCAAGUUAUCUAACCUCCCGUACCUCAAUUUUUUCAUCCAUAAAAUGGGAUAAUGCUAGUGCCUCCUCUGUAGAAUUUUUAUAUUGAUGAAAUAAUAACUAUGAAAGUACUUAGAACAGUGCCUGGUAUUUAUAAGGGCUACAUUAAUGAGUAUUUGCUAUUUUAAUCUAUUUAUACACAUAGUUCUGUCUCUUUAAGAGAAAACCAGGUCACUGGAUUUUAUCUGUUGGAAUCUUAGACUGCCAUUAAGGUAUGAAACUUGGACUUCUACAUUUUGAACGCUUUAAUGAAUUCAUAUUAUCAAGGAACCUUAAGAGAAGAAAAAAAAAAAUCUCUUUCAACUUUAGAGAAUGAGCUUCUAAAAAUGAAUACUUGGUUUCUUUCCACCUUGAAGUAUAAACAAAACCCCCCAAAUUUUGUUAUAUAAACCAAACAAAAAGCACAUAAAAUCCCUUAAUCCAGAGCUAUAUUUAAGAGAUAGAGCAGACAGCAGAUAAUUCAUAUCCACUACAACCGUUACUGUAACACACAAGAAUUAAAAUGUAUCAACAGCCAGCAGCUGGGCAGAGCACUCCUGGCAUCAUAGUUCACUUCUGCAGCGCUGUGCUGUGCAAUUUAACUGCAGUUACAAACAGAAAAACCCUCACGCCUCCUUUUCCUCAGAUUUGUGGUUUUAAAGCAUGUCUCCCAUGAUUCCUUCCCAUAUUCUUCCCCCUCUAGUCACCUUCCCUUUAUUAUUUGUCCAAGUCAGAGGGAGAAAAUAAUUUUUAGAAAAGCGACAAGCUGUAAAAAACAAUGCCUUUAACAGGAAAACAAUACUGGUGAAAAUCCAAAUCACCCAGAAGUUACACCUACCCUCCUUGCCCAGUCAAACCAAGGGGUGUUGCAUCUGUUAGUACCAUAUGGUGGGUUAUCCGAGAGCCGAACAGAACUUCCGCAGCACAGAGGCCCAUUAGCCAGUCUGCCUUGCAGGCGUGCAUAUGACCCAAGGCUGUCCUGGGGGCUCUGGGCCUGCAGGAGGGUGUUUAAGACAUUGGCCACUUAUCAGACCUGACCCCACGGCCUUUGCAGCUUCUCUGUGAGGGCUUCAGGGAGCUUGCAUCCUGUUCAGUGGGCACAGGGAGAAGGGAUCACGUCCGGAAAUACCUUGCUUGGUAGCUCCAAUGGCCAGUAAGUCAUUUACAGCAGAAUUCCUCCAGAGAUGCCUUUGGAUGGGGAGAUGUGUCCUUCCUUUAAGAGGCGGGGGCUGAGGGGCCUGAGGGAGUCUUGAGAGCCUGGGGCUGAAGUCAUUCCUGACCCAGGGCUCAGCUCCAGCAACACCCGGGCACCUCUGAACCAGCUGUGUUCCACAGGUCCCCGCCUCUGCCCUGGGCCUUGUUUGUGGCAGAGAUCCUCUUAGGGGGCUUUUGGUGAGGACGUGAGCUAUGUUGUCAGGGGUUCAGUGCAAGGCAGAGGAGGGUUUCCUGCGGUUGGCAUCCACUCUUUCAAGACUUCUUUCACUGUACACAGACUGGCUUUACCUUAUGGUGAAAGUGAAAGUGAAGUCGCUCAGUCGUGUCCUACUCUUUGUGACCCCAUGGACUGUAGCCUACCAGGCUCCUCCAUCCAUGGGAUUUUCCAGGCAAGAAUACUGGAGUGGGUUGCCAUUUCCUUCUCCAGGAGAUCUUCCCGACCCAGGGAUUCAACCCGAGUCUCCCGCACUAUAGGCAGAUGCUUUACCAUCUGAGCCACCAGGGAAGUCCUUACCUUAUGGGGAGAGGAAUAACAAAAAUUGCCCGUCUCCACCUCAGCACCAGCAUAACUCCUUUCUCCAUGUUCAAUAAGAUCAUAAGUUUCAUUUCCUUCCACCUCUCCUGCCUCCCCAGUCCUGGCCACGUACUAAGAGCCAGGGGCUUCCCUGGUAGCUCGG
Molecule: long non-coding RNA, 4859 nt
Organism: Bos taurus (domestic cattle)
Lineage: Eukaryota; Metazoa; Chordata; Mammalia; Artiodactyla; Bovidae
Source: Ensembl